This 282-nucleotide long non-coding RNA is filed under the name Lathyrus oleraceus (garden pea). RNAcentral describes it as "Pisum sativum (pea) long non-coding RNA (PSAT_LNC030622)". The record is from RNAcentral. Lineage: Eukaryota; Viridiplantae; Streptophyta; Magnoliopsida; Fabales; Fabaceae.
AAAACUCAUCGUCCACCCUUUUUCUUCGAUCAAAAACGAAGCCUCCAAACUGACUUCCCGAUACAACACACAUCGAUAUCACCAAGCAGUCAUGGAUCAACUAGAACAAAAUCAAGCAGUGCUCUAAGAAGAGGUGUCUCAAGUGAGGUCCCAAAUGUGGCAGUUCAUGGAAACAAUACAAGUAGUCGCUAGAGGCCAUGAAAUCAUGGCUAAAAUGCAAGAGGAAAUGAAUCACCAUGCUCACGCUGCUAAUCCUCCUCCUAAUCCUCUUGUCAUAGAGAC